GGGCCAUCAUGGGGAAGGAUCUCACCGAGGAGCAAGUCGCCUCCAUGCGCGAGGCCUUCACCCUCUUCGACAGUGACGGCGACGGCCGGAUCCCCGCCUCCGAGCUCGGCAUCCUCAUGCGCUCCCUCGGGGGCAACCCCACGCAGGCCCAGCUCAAAUCCAUCAUCUCCACCGAGAACCUCACCGCCCCCUUCGACUUCCCCCGCUUCCUCGACCUCAUGGCGAAGCACCUCCGCGCUGAACCGUUCGACCGCCAGCUCCGCGACGCCUUCAGGGUGCUGGAUAAGGAGGGGACGGGGAAGGUCGCGGUGGCGGAUCUGCGCCACGUGCUGACGAGCAUCGGGGAGAAGCUGGAGGGGGAGGAGUUUGAUGAGUGGAUUCGGGAGGUGGAGGUUGCGCAGGACGGGACGAUUAAUUACGAGGAUUUCAUCCUCCGCAUGAUCGCCAAGUAGAUCGGAGAACUAGUGCUUGGGGAGAAUGAGAUUCGAAGCCGCUGUUUGAACUAC
RNAcentral lists this unclassified non-coding RNA (506 nucleotides) under Hevea brasiliensis (rubber tree). The record is from RNAcentral. Lineage: Eukaryota; Viridiplantae; Streptophyta; Magnoliopsida; Malpighiales; Euphorbiaceae.